Camellia sinensis is the source of this 1598-nucleotide non-coding RNA. The record is from RefSeq and is a predicted model, not a curated record. Lineage: Eukaryota; Viridiplantae; Streptophyta; Magnoliopsida; Ericales; Theaceae.
GCGAAAAACUUAUUUUCAGCAACCAAAAAAAAUUAGUCUCCAAAUUAGUACUUUUAGCGACUAAUAUAUUAGUCGCCGUUGAUUGAGAUUUGGCGACUAAAAAAAUUUGUCGGCGAAAGAACCUAUUUUUGCUACUAAUUUGAGAGUUUAGUCGCCAAAAGUUUGGGGGGAAAUUUGAAACGUGGGGCGGGAAUUGAAUUUCAGAAAAAAAAAUUCCAGAUUGGGGUAAUUUUUUACUUCACACACUGUUGAUGCAUCAAUCGAACCCAGAUUGGGGUAAUUUAGUUUAACUCGUCUCCUCCCAUUCCCUCUCUGUCUUUCUCUCCCUCUCUGUUCUUCUUUUCUACCCUCCCUCUUGCGCUCGCUCCCGAUGCUAGCCUCGAUUUCUGCCUCUCCCCCAUUCUCUCUCAGUGUCUUCAAGUCGCAAUCCUCCCACUCGCAAGGUAGGGUUUCCGAUUGUGAAUCGCGACAUUGUGCUUUGAUUGGGUCACCGAAGGCUAGGGUUUCCACCAUCACAGCCACCUUCAUCAUCAUCUGCUUCCUCAAAUUCUACAUUGACGCCGCUGUCUUCUCUUUCUCUCUCUGCUUCGAACCCCCAUGGGAGCUCUCCGGGUACUGCAUCAGUUUCUGAAAAUCAGGAUGCGACUUCGCUGUUGUAAGGUCCUGUUGAUGAGUCCAAAAAUCACCUCCCUGAUAUUCUCUGUGUUAUCCAGGUUUGUUUCUUUUUUAUGUGACACACACACCAGUAUUUACACACCAGUAUUUAAGGAUUGGUAAUCUUUUUUAGAAAUUGAAUGACUUUGGUCUUAUUAUACAUUCAUGAGGAAGGUAAUCAAAAAAGAAAGAAGACGAGUUCUUUGUUUUAUCACUUAGGAGCAGUGUGAGAUGAAAGUCUCAUGCACGGUUUUGAAUGAGAGAAACAAGUGAGGAGAUGUCUGCAACUCUUUUUUGUUACUGCAAACAUUAUUCUAUUGUGACUUCUUUGACAUGACAUGAAUAUCCAUUUCGCCCCUUUUAUACAUCCUUUUGGUGCAAUGUUUUCUCCUCUUUAACCAGACUUCCAUAUCAAUCAAAUACUAUUGUUGCUAGAGUUCUGUCCUCUUCAUAAUAAACUAUAACGUGGAACAUUUACUAAGCAUAAGAGUUUGGAAAAAUAAGUAUGUUCUUGAAGGAAAUAGGCUGUAACAUGUUAAAAGACACCUGCUUGCAAGGGAAUUGGCUCUAAAUUAAGAAGUUAAUUUGCAGUUCAUCUCUAUUCCCUUUCUUAUAAACACAUUCUCAUCAUUCCCCAAUCCCUUAUGUUAUAUUUCCUUACCAUGAUAAUCUCUUAAUAGUAUCCUCUGUCUUUGUGGUCAUUUUCUGAAAACCUUUUUUCUCCUUGCUUCUUGUUUUUUUGGUUGAAAAGAGCUAUCCAUUAGUGCUUUCUUGUAUAACUUCAUCCAUUUCUGCUGGAAUUAUGCUUGAUAUUAAUUCUAGAUCAUCUUGGGGGAUCUUUAAAUUUAUGAUGACGCCUCAUGCUAGUUCAACUGAUAAUGGAAAAUCACUAAACCAUAGUAACAUUUGCCACAAUGUCAACAAUGUAUUCAUUCUACAGUCAA